This 64-nucleotide transfer RNA is filed under the name Dipodomys ordii (Ord's kangaroo rat). It matches the Rfam family "tRNA". Rfam says of the family: Transfer RNA (tRNA) molecules are approximately 80 nucleotides in length. The record is from Rfam by way of RNAcentral. Lineage: Eukaryota; Metazoa; Chordata; Mammalia; Rodentia; Heteromyidae.
GGUGGCUCAGUGGCAGAGUGUUUGCCUAGCAUGCAUGAAGCCCUGGGUUCGAUUCCUAGUACCA